This 1012-nucleotide long non-coding RNA is filed under the name Homo sapiens (human). RNAcentral describes it as "HSALNT0118342". The record is from RNAcentral. Lineage: Eukaryota; Metazoa; Chordata; Mammalia; Primates; Hominidae.
UCCCCAAACACUAAAAUAGCACAUGGCAUAGUAAUUCAGCACACAGCAUAAACUGAUAUAUGCAAUCGAUAAUCCCGAAAAUGUUUAAGUUUCACUUUGGGAGUCUUUAAAAACUUAUGUCCUUAAAUGACCUUUAUUAAAGUUAUCAACAGACGACAACAGGAGUCACCUUGAAAAAUUUUAGGGUACAGGAUACUGCAAUUCUUAGAAUCUGGGAAACUUUUUAUGUGGGAAAUAACUCGAUUUGCUUCUCUGUAACUGAGCUACUUUUUUCUCGAGCUCAUUUUUGUUUAAGGUAACACUGCUAGGGUUCUGAGUUUGAGAAGGGAUCUUCUAAAGGUAAACUUAAUAUUGAUGGAGUGCAGGCAAGCGGGUUCCAACUCAGAGCCCAGACCCUUGGGAAAAGCACUUGGUGGGUCAUCCUGAAAACUUCCCAUUUCCGGCACUUUUUGAUGGCGUGGCAGUCGUGACACCCGAGGCUCUCCUUUGGGGCACUGUCCUCUGUGGCCGUCAGUGGCCCUGGGCCCUCCUCCCAGCCAGUCUCGCCGCCCCAGAGCUUCAACACCACUGCAGGACACCCGAGCAAAACACUCUGUUGGAGCAGGGAACAAACCCACGGCUGUGCUCGGAGUGGCUGCUGAGGCUGGAUUUCUUCUUACUGAUUCUCUCACAUAUGGAAGCACUGGGCCGCCACUGUGAAGCCAGAGGCCAGCCCCGCUCGGAUCCUUUCUCAUUUCCAGUGAUAAUGCCUCACUUUGUGAAUUUCCAUCAACCACAGGCUUAUUCAUCCAGGAGGGUGCAUCUGCAGGCCAAGGGCCCUCCGGCAUUCUUUUCUUAAGGCUGCAUGAUAGUUUGUCCGAGUCACCUCCUCCGGCCUGCUGCACUUGUGCCAGGCAGGUGCCGAGGGGCCCUCUUCUGUCCCUCAUGCUUCGUGUUCUUGGAUGCGGUGGGCCUGAGGUCACGCCUUCGUCAGUCUGGGAGGGCCUUCAAUGGAUCUCAAUAUGAACCUAGG